GGUUUUAGUUCCGUCGGCCGCGCCGAUACAGUUCCCUCUCUCGCUACUCCUGUCUCGCUCCACUGUUCUGGCAGAUCGUCCGGGGAAAACCACACUACCAGCGACGAAUCAUUUCGGUUUUCCGCCAGUUUGCUGUUGUCGACGUUGUCGUGAAGUGACGGAAAUAGUAAACGGACCUGCAAUGGAUCUUUAAAGAAACGGGAAAGCGCUCCAAACAGCUCUAGCAACCCGCGGAUUAAUAUUACUGUUAUCACCGCGCUUGUCUCGCGGUUGCAAGAAAGCUGUAGUUCAUUGUCCCUCCGGAACAAUGUUGGGCUGGGGCAAAUUUGCUGCAGUGUUGCGAAGUGCGGACGGACACCUUGUUCCCGUUUUGUUUCGAUUCCUUUCGUAUCGCACGGGAAGUAUUUCUGUAUAGAAUUAUCCGUGACCUUAUUUCCUUUACGUUUACAGAUGCCGCUAUGACGGUCCUUGCUUGCAACAAGGGCGUUUGAGAAACAAGGACCAAACACCGUCCAUCCUAGCCUGGUCUUAACCGCGAUCGGUUCAUGUAUGUCACCCUCGAUGCAUCGCGACGGCUUCCCUAGGUAAACAUUAUCCAUGCCGAUAAUGAUGCGCGGCACUAUUCCGCUGUAGGACGAGAUUUUAAGCCCUUUGAGGUGCGGAUACUCCUCGCUCAACUUUUGAACCGACAGUGUCUGCGCUGGAAGUUCGAGUUUUUUCAGGGUAUGCACCGUUGGCAGGUUGUAUAUCGAAGCACCUUUGCUUAAACCCGAUACUCGCAGAGAUAACUUUAAAGAGCUGACUUCGUCGCGGGUCGUGUUAUCAGUCCACUUCAAACUGACUGGGUGCAAUUUACCGUCCAUACCCAGCUCGUCUAUCAGCUCACGAUCAACAAAUGUCGCCGAUGAACCUUCAUCAAGGAACGCGAAGGUCUUUACCGUGCCUUUCUCGCCGUGCACUAUUAUGGGAACAUAUCGGAAAAGCGUGUUAGUGUUAGUGAUGAAGUGAGUGUUUACCGAGUGUUGCGUGCUAUUGCCCGAUCUUGGUGUUUCAUCUUCACAGUGAAGUAGUGUAUGAUGGUUUUCCUGGCAGCUCUCUCUUCGGCAACGUGUCCUCAC
This is a long non-coding RNA of Anopheles gambiae (African malaria mosquito), 1118 nucleotides long. RefSeq lists it as uncharacterized. The transcript has 3 exons. Lineage: Eukaryota; Metazoa; Arthropoda; Insecta; Diptera; Culicidae. The record is from RefSeq and is a predicted model, not a curated record.